CGAGGAUCACUCAUGAGAAGGAGCGCUUGUUUUGCUGACCAGAGACACCUUACCUCUGUGCUCAUUUUGUGAAACUGCAGAGUCGCGAGGAUCACUCAUGAGAAGGAGCGCUUGUUUUGCUGACCAGAGACACCUUACCUCUGUGCUCAUUUUGUGAAACUGCAGAUGCAGAUGGAGAAUUAAAGACAACUGAUGCCACAGCCUGAGCAGCUUCUCGUGAUUUAUUUCUACACUCAGAGAGGACACCAGAUACACAUAGGUCACAUUGGUGCCGUGACUCGUCCUCGACAACAUCGGACCGGGCUGGUGUCUUCUCAUCGCAGCAUCGUUUGGAGCAUCUCU
Archocentrus centrarchus (flier cichlid) is the source of this 342-nucleotide long non-coding RNA. RefSeq lists it as uncharacterized. The transcript has 3 exons. NCBI's taxonomy places the organism in Eukaryota, Metazoa, Chordata, Actinopteri, Cichliformes, Cichlidae. The record is from RefSeq and is a predicted model, not a curated record.